CCUACAUGAAGUCGGAAUUGCUAGUAAUCGCGGAUCAGCAUGCCGCGGUGAAUACGUUCCCGGGCCUUGUACACACCGCCCGUCACACCAUGGGAGUUGGUAACACCCGAAGUCAGUAGCCUAACCGCAAGGAGGGCGCUGCCGAAGGUGGGAUCGAUGACUGGGGUGAAGUCGUAACAAGGUAGC
Molecule: ribosomal RNA, 186 nt
Filed under: uncultured bacterium
Lineage: Bacteria
Description: partial 16S ribosomal RNA
Rfam family: Bacterial small subunit ribosomal RNA
Source: RNAcentral